This is a long non-coding RNA of Ictalurus punctatus (channel catfish), 7930 nucleotides long. The record is from Ensembl. NCBI's taxonomy places the organism in Eukaryota, Metazoa, Chordata, Actinopteri, Siluriformes, Ictaluridae.
CCAUUAUGAAGCCCUCUCCCUGAUUAACAUAUUUUUCUAAUUCAUCAGGCAGCUGUUGACAGGACUCAGUGGUGCUUGCUCGUAAAUGAAACAUGCCACAGAUUAUUCAAAACAAACAGUUUGUCUGUACACCAACUCAUGAAUAUCUGAGAGACACAAAGGCAUCAAAAGCUGACGGAAGAAUGAUGACUGAUGUUAACAUGAUGCACCAUUUCACAAAAUUGGGGAAAUAUUUUUUUUUAAAAAAAGAGAUCAAGUUGUUACAAAUCAGGUCUCUAAACAUGGUGCUCAGUGAGUGCCCUAGUUGCAGUGACCUACCCAGAAAACACGCUUGAAUAGGACGCUAAGAAAACUCACUGGAGACUGCAGGCCUAGUUUGCUGCACGGGUGAGUUUCUAAUGGCAUGAUGCCCCUUGAGACAGCAUGCUGACACGGGUGAAACACCGAAAAAAAGGCGAGAAAACAAGCAAGAAGAGAGACUAAAGAGCAAAGGAAGGCGGAAUUAAAGUGAGUGUCGAGGAUUCCAGGAAAGGGCCCACAACUCUCAAACCCAUGUGUCACGCUGGAGUGCAGGAGUCCCUCAGCUUCACUGUUUCACGUCCCAGAUUAGAUUGAACCGAGACCCGUGGCGGAGGAUUGGAGGUGCCACCAGGGUGAUCAGAGCUCCUGGAGGACUUCCUGGACUUCUCUCAGAUUCCGACAAAAGGGAUGAAGCUGGAAUCAGACUCCAGACUGUGUGUUGUAGGACGCACGAUUUUGUUGUAGGCUGAAACAAUGGAAUGAGUGUUAAAAUGCCCUUACUGUAUGUAAGGGAUAAUCCACGGCUAGGUAUGCAUUACCUUAUAACCACCUGACACCAAGAGGAGUGCAUUAAAAUCGUGUAAUGCACACCUAGCCGUGGAUGAUCCUAAUUAUACCAUGGUCACUUGCCAGCAUUGACAAGUUAAAGCUGUCAUUGGUGUUUGAAGUGAAAGUUUGGACUGAAAGGACAAAAAUAAUGGUUCAUUUUCAUUAGUUAGGGUCGUUAGAUCUAGAUAUAUUCUACCUGCUCUAAAUCAUACGCAGAGAUACAGUAUUGUCAUAAGAUUACAUUUAUUUGAAUAAAUUAUAGUAAAUAGUUAUUAGAUGGAGAGAGAGAGAGAGCCAAGGGAGAGAGUGUGCGUGUGUGAAUGACCUGCAUCUGUGUGGCGUCUCUACUAAUAACGAAGCUGUGAGUUUAACUACUGUAUGUUACUAUAGUUACGGUUGUAUAUAGGCAGAGCGUUAAUCUAGAACGGUGAUUAAACAGACUGCAACGUCCUGUGCAUUAUCUGAUCUGAAAGCACACCUUCCAGCCAAUCAGAAUCGAGUUUUCAGACAGAUCAUGGUAUAAAUAUAUAUAAUAGCUGAAGUAUUCAGUCUGAAAUGAUAUCUGUUAACUCAAUUGAUUAAUUCAUUCAAAAUAUACUCGCAUACUAGUUACAAUUCAAAGCCUUGUUGAAGGAGGAUCAUACUUUUUUUGUUAUGAUCCAUCAACAGCCACUCACACAGAUCAACAGAGUGAGUUUAUAAGCUGUCCACAAGGCGCUGUGGUUUUGUUUUGUUUUUGUUUUUGGCCAAUAAUUGUGAGCAAUUUAACUCAAAGACAAAAGCCUUCUCCGUUAUGAUGCCUGAGGCUCUGUGUUCGGGCAUACUAUAAACUUGGGGGUCGUCUUUGGCUGUACUUUCAGGCAUGAUUAUGUGGGAUGUACCUGAGUUAGCGUGUGACAUAUACGUUCAAAAUUUCCUGCCAAUUAGAACCCAACAGCCCUGACUGCACAUUACUGAGCUACUAUUACAGUAUUGUUAGGCUGAUUCAUAGCAACUCAGGAACAUAUAGCAUCAUAUAUGCUAUAUAUAUGAUGCAUCAUAUAGCAUCAUGUAUGCAUAUAUGCAUAUAUGAUGCUAUGUUCAUAUAUGCAGGAACAUAUAGCAUCAUAUAUGCUAUAAUAUGAUGCAUCAUAUAUGCAUCAUAUAGCACCCCCCCCCCCCCCAAAUCAAUGAUGAUUGCAACUUGUAUUCUGUGCCUCUCCAUUCUUCCUCCAGACUCUGGGACCUUGAUUUCCAAAUGGAAAUCAAAAUGUACUUUCAUCUUCCACAUGAUUGUGGUCGUGUACUGAACCAGACUGACAAAUUAAAGGCUCAGGAAACCUUUGCAGGUGUUUUGAGUUAAUUAGCUGAUUAGAGCUCUUCUCAGGUCGACGUUUCUGUAUUACAACUUCUUUAUCGUAAUAUUUUGAGGUACUGGAUUUUUAAUUCCCGUGAGCUGUAAGCCGUGAUCAUCAAGAAUAAACAAAAAAAAGGCUUGAAAUAUUUCACGUUAUGUGUAAUAAAUUUAGAAUAUAAGAAAGUUCCACUUUUUGAAUUAAAUUAUGGAAAAAAUCAAACAUUUCACGAAUUAAUUUUUUUUUGAGAUGCAUCUAUGUACACGUGUAUAUACGUAUAUAUAUAUUUUUUUUCUCCAGCGAUGGGAACUUGAAUGUUCGCAUUUAUAAAUGUGUUUUGCAGUUGCGUAAAAUUGUAAACGAAUAUUGAAAGAAUAAAAAAAUUUAAACUGAAUUUACUUUUAAAUGAGUUUUGAGUAAAUUUUUUUGUUCUUCUUCUUCUUCUUCUUCUUCUUUUCUAAGUACAGGGAAACUUUGUCAAAAUCCAACAAGCUAAAGAUAUGGUGGACAAAUUAAGCUAAAAAAUGAUGGAGUAUCCCUUUAAGAAGCAGACUGAGUCAUUUUCCACAUUAACAAUACUUCAUAUGGCCUGCCUGUCUACCUCACAUGGCUUGAAAGAUUUGCUUCCUGCCUGUGAACAGUGAUUGCUCCAAAAUGAGCUUCUUUAUUUAUACUGCAUUUAUUUAAAUACAGAAAAAGAAAAAAAAUCUGUUCUCUUGCAUUUCUCAUAUCUUUGUUCUACCUCAGUAGUUUAGUUGUUGAAUUGCACAGAUUUCUGCAUAGUUGGCAUGUGUAGUUAUCUGCCCUGGGCAGCAGGCACUAAAGACACUCCAUAUAUCACACCGGCUAUUCAGUGAGCCCGGUACAGAACACGACCUGUCACAUAGUUUUUGUUCGAGUCCUGGGAACAUUCUGCACCCUUCAGGAGUCUGCAAUAUUUCCUUUCUUUUCAUUAGCAGGAUGGAGUAGGGGCAUAAAUAAACAUACACUGUAAACGAGUUUAGGUAGCUGUUUUUACCUGUUUAGUGACGUCUAAAAAGUUUUGAUUAACACCUUAAAUCGUUCAGUUUAAAGCAUAUUAUUCACUAACGACAGUGAAAGUGAAAGAAUGAACAGACCUAGCGGCAGAUUUCAUUUUAAAAGUGUAAAGCUCACCCUAACUGCAACAAGAACAUUCACAGGUGAGUUCAAGUUUUGGACAGGAAUGCUGAGUUGUUGUUUGUAACCCGAGUUCUUUGAUAGUAAUGUAUUUCGUUAUGCUACUAAUGCAGGAAUCAGAUUGGCCUCGAUGGAGAUUUAAGAAGCUGCGUGAGCUAAUUUUGUGUGAGGAUUUUAAACAUCAAAACAAGAAAUCCGGUGUCCAGAUUUUUAAAAAAUAUAUACGCCAUGUCAGGGGAUUUUCCAGACUGACACAUGUACAGCAUGUCCAGACCCUCAUAUUUGUUUAUAGGUCAUUUAUUUUGCAUUUGUUACAUAUAAUUUUACAAUGUAUUUAAGUUGGACAGACUGCCUCCCUGCAUCUGGCUCUAUACCUGAAGUGUUGUCACACUACUGCUGUUAUAAUGUCCUAUAAAAGCACUUCAGCUGAUCUGUGACUCUCUCAAGAGCUCUCCCGUGUCAAGCAUUCCCACUCAGCUGUGAGAUUUCAUCCUCUCUCUCUCUCUCUUUCUGAUAGACAGGUGUUUAUUAAGAGGUGCUGACAGUGCUAUAGUGCUAGAAGACUUUCAGCUUGAUCUCUUCUUCGCUCUUUUGAUUAGACAGGGGUGAAAGUGUGAAAAUGGUCCUCGCAGUUUCCCUGUUCUCAUUGCCACGUGCUGAGAUCUCAGACCUCAGGUCAGUUUUUGUCAGCUUCUCCUAACAGUUAAGACGUGAAUUAGAAAGGAGUCGAGCUGAUCCUAUAUCAGGAUAAAAGAGGAAUUGCUAGGCUAACCCACACCCCCUCUUUCUUUCCCCAAAUCCACAGCUGCGGUCCUGCAUCUGUGUCAACUGUCAGAUUCAAUAGAGUAACACGCUGUGAAGGGGAAACACUCAUUCAUUAACAGUGUCAAUUCCAGCUACUAUAAAGUGACUCUGUGGCACUGAUAGGGGAUAUGCAUUGAUUUCCCUUCAGUGGCAGCCCAGAGUGUGUUUUAAUGGCCAUUAUUCAGAGGCCCAGCUACGAUGUGCUAAAACGCCUGUCCUGUUAACCUCACAGGCUUCCAGGGCUGUGCUCACGGAGAGGCAGACUCUUCAAUAACUUUGUUUUAUGGGAGGUAGACUUCUGCAAAGACGUUUGAACAAAAUUAUUUGGACAAUUGCCAUAUAACUUACAUACUGUUCCCUGAGUGGAUAAACAUUCAGAUUGAUGGCUGUUUUGCUUUAAGUAGACAGACCAAUUUCACCUGAUCAUUAUAGAAAAUUGUAUGUGUGAGAAAGAAUGAGUAUUAAAAUAUGUAUUUGUCCGUGACCAGACAGUAAGACCUAACUAGGGACGUAACCAGAUAUGAAUUGAACAGUUAAUGUGUUCUAAAUGAAUACAAAUACAGAUAUGAAUAGUAGGUGCACUAUUAUUAUUAUUAUUAUUAUUAUUAUUAAUAAUUAUUAUUAUUAUUUAUUUUGUUAUUUUUUAGAAAGCUUCAUGUUAAGACUAGGUGUGUACAUCAGGACUGGGAUUCCAAAGGAUGAAACAAGUAUAAGCACAAGAUUUUGUUUUACACUCUUGUGGAGCUGAGCAUUAAGCUUGUGAAUGGGUUGCCAGGUUUAAGCUUGAAUACCCACCCUAAGUACAACUUAAAAACAACACAAAAGAGAGAUUAAGAAUACAUAUACAAAUAUUUGGAUCAUUAAGCAAAUACGGAUAUACAGAUGAAGUAAGAACACCCUGUGACAAGGAGGAGGGAGAUGCCAGGUUGUGAAAAAGUACACCUGGCACUGAUUUGGCUAAUCAGUGGGAGAGAGAGAUAAAGGAUUACCUGGAAGUGGCAGUAAGAGCGAGAGAGACACAUUUGCACUCUGUGUUAUGUUUGUGUGUUUUCUGCUCUGUUUGAGUUUGGUUUAUUAUUCAACUUUAUGUUUGUGUUCAGCCGGGUCCCGCCUCCUCCUUGCUCGACUUUAAAGUUUGUUACACUGGUGCCGAAACCCGGGAAGGAGGAGGAACGCGUUGUAAGAAAGCUCUUUCCACUGUGGAAGGAUUGAAACACUGAGGAGGCAGUGGUGCUGGAGUGGUUGCUGAGGAGGAGUCGAUGCCGUCUGCGGGGACGCGGAGGAACCCCCUACUGUCCGCCUGAAAGGGGAGGAGUGGUUGCUGUCUGCCAGGGGAUGGAGGACCCGCUGCUGUCCCCCGGGGAAGCGGAGAUGUGGCUGCCGUCUUCCUGAAAAGGGGAGGAGCCAUAGCCGUCCAUCAGGGAGGUGGAGGUGUGGCUGCCAUCCCCCAGAAUAGGGGAGGAACCGCGGCCUCCCGCUUGCAAAGGGGCCGGCCGUUCAAAAGACGUAGCCGAGAGGGCAACACCGCCCUCCUGAAAGGGUGGGAGGGGGUGUGCGUCAGGCCGGGCGCAUAAAUCUGGUGGUGGAGGAGUGUGAUGAGGAGGAGGGAGAAACCAUGUUAUGAGGAUGCAUACCUGGCACUGAUUUGGCUAAUCGGUCCGAGAGAGAGAUAAAGGAGCGGCUGGAAGCGCCGGUGAGAGAGAGAGAGAGAGAGAGAGAGAGAGAGAGAGAGAGAUGCAUGUGCAUUUUGUGUUCUGUUUGUGUUUCUGUUAUGUUUGAGUUCUGUUUAGGAUUAACGUUUAUGUUUAUGUUCAGCUGGUCCGUGCCUCCUCCUUGCCCGGCUCUAAAGUGUAUUACACACCCCUAGUAAGAAAAGCUAACAGGAACACAGGUUUCAAAUACAAUGUAUCUAGUCCACUAACGCCAACCCUUGUUUUAAGUCUCUUGCAGAACGGGACAUGUUUUCUUAUAGAAUUACCCUGUAUGUGGCAUCCAUAUUGCCCUCAUAGUUUACCAGUUUGCCCUGCUGAUAAAAAAGCAUCCCCACAACAUGAUGAUACCACCACCAUGCUUCACUGGGGAUGGUGUUCUCAUGGUGAUGAUUGGUCUUGGGUUUCCCCCAAACCUAACACUUUGUGCCAAAGAUAAAAAUGUUCAAUUUUCCAAUUAUUUCCUGAAUUUAAAAUGCCCAGUGGCUUUCUUCCCACCACUCUUCCAUAGCUUUGUGGCGUGUCUGUGGCCUGGGUUACAGUUAUCCUCUGAACAGCUUCUCCCAUCUUAACUGUGAAUCUCUCCAGUUCCUUCAGAGUUACCCUGCUUGCUUCUCUGAACAAUUUAAGAUCUUCUAUGUGCAGGUGUGUCAAAACUAUUGCGUGUUACUGUCCAAAUCUUGGCAUUAUGCACAGUGUGACAUUCAUUAGUAAAUCACGGUCUUCUUCAGACAACUAAUAAUGUUACAUUUGCUUCUUAUUUUUGUUAAUUACUACAUUGAGUGAUCAUGUCUGGUCAGAGAAACAAGCUUGGGUAUUUGGGGGAAUGGAGUUUUUAGUACCAGCCCUCGUUCUUUUUUUUUUUUUCAGGAAAGCGGAUCCCCCAUAUGUACACCAAUAAAAGUGAGUGACUUAGGAGGAGUGUCUAUCAUAGAGUGGAGGCAAACCUGAGACAGAUAGAGAGAUAGUGAGGGUGUGAGAGCUCACUAAUAGGCCCUCGACAAGAUGCCAGCCCGUUUUUCACAUCAUGUCAUCUGUAAGGGUUGAAAUAAAAGUAAUGGCCAGAUCCCUCUCUGCCAUUACAGCUCCGGCAGUUCAGCAUUUAUUUGUGUUGACUGGUGCGGGCUUGGCGGCGUGACAGAAUCAUAGAUCCGAGAUCAGACACCGCCAUGAUGUUCAGCGCUGUUCAGGCACUGACAGGUCCCCCGCUCGCCUCCUCAUCUCAUAGCGGGAGCGUUAGCGGCUAACGCUGCGUCAUAUCAAAUGCAGCCAUCUGACACGAUAACGGAUCUGGCACACCGCAGACGUGACCCAGUCUGUCUUUUGUAAUCGGCUGACAGAUAGAAGCUCUGAAAUAAGAAGGCUUCUUCAGUUUCAUGUAGUAAAAAUUAGUGUCAGUCAAAGUUAAGUGCCUGUUUUUGACCAGAGAGAGGAAAGAUGAGGGAGUUUACUGUCAGUGUUAUUCACGUACCAGGCUAGUAAACUAAGUGGAAAUGAUUUAUAAGGGGAAAAAAGGAUUUUAAAUUGGCCAUUUUAUUUUCUCGGAAGGCUCAGCCUUAAAUGUACUUUUCAGCUCUCAGUCUAUUUGCACUAUUGUUUAAGCUGCACUGCCUGAUAUGAAAGACUGUUUUGUCCACUUUUACUGGUGUAGCAAAAUAAUAAAAAUAGUACUUCUCAUGUGUAAGACUGUCACUGUUAAUAUUUGAUGUUCAAGCGUUUUAACUUCUUAGUACAGAGCCAAGCUACUGAUGAGUAUAUUGGGCUAGUAGCACCACCGGCAACACUAUUAGCUAACUUUACUAGCUGGUUUACUUUAACUACAGUAGCUACAUGUUCUAGCAGUAAUAUGGCAUGGAAGGCGUGGAAGCUUGAAAUGAGGGGAAUUGUCCUAUUGGCCGAGUAUUGUUGUAUAUUUGAAAUCCAUCCAUUGUGGUGGCUGCAUUUUGUCCGUAUGUUACAAAUAAGACAAAUGACUCGAGGAGACUACUGACUGCUAACAAGACCAAGUGGAUUAUGAGAACAAGUUGCUUGAUUAGAUACAGUAUUAGUAGUAUUUACUGUAUAUCACAGCGUUAA